This 208-nucleotide long non-coding RNA is filed under the name Elaeis guineensis (African oil palm). RNAcentral's name for it is "long non-coding RNA (EGUI_LNC032290)". Lineage: Eukaryota; Viridiplantae; Streptophyta; Magnoliopsida; Arecales; Arecaceae. The record is from RNAcentral.
AUACAAGGAGAAACCAUCUAUCAUGAAAGAUGUCGGUUGGAGCCCAGUGUGAGGUGGUGCUCUAGGUAGAGGUGGAUCGGGCACAAGAUGAAAAACUCGAGAAGAUGAUAAGCGAUGUCAUUAGGAGGCUAUCCCGAGCAGGUCUCAGGUCAGUAGGAUGGAGAUGGGAUCGAGCGAUCUGGCUCGACUCUCAUAUUUACCCAUUCAU